This 434-nucleotide ribosomal RNA is filed under the name uncultured bacterium. RNAcentral describes it as "partial 16S ribosomal RNA". It matches the Rfam family "Bacterial small subunit ribosomal RNA", at positions 29 to 507 of the family's 1533-position model. The record is from RNAcentral.
AGCGAACGCUGGCGGCAGGCCUAACACAUGCAAGUCGAACGAACCUUUCGGGGUUAGUGGCGGACGGGUGAGUAACACGUGGGAACGUGCCUUUAGGUUCGGAAUAACUCAGGGAAACUUGUGCUAAUACCGGAUGUGCCCUUCGGGGGAAAGAUUUAUCGCCUUUAGAUCGGCCCGCGUUUGAUUAGCUAGUUGGUUGAGGUAAUGGCUCACCAAGGCGACGAUCAUUAGCUGGUCUGAGAGGAUGAUCAGCCACAUUGGGACUGAGACACGGCCCAAACUCCUACGGGAAGCAGCAGUGGGGAAUCUUGCGCAAUGGGCGAAAGCCUGACGCAGCCAUGCCGCGUGAAUGAUGAAGGUCUUAGGAUUGUAAAAUUCUUUCACCGGGGACGAUAAUGACGGUACCCGGAGAAGAAGCUCCGGCUAACUUCGUG